RNAcentral lists this ribosomal RNA (154 nucleotides) under Porosira glacialis. RNAcentral's name for it is "partial 5.8S ribosomal RNA". It matches the Rfam family "5.8S ribosomal RNA". From Rfam's summary of the family: 5.8S ribosomal RNA (5.8S rRNA) is a component of the large subunit of the eukaryotic ribosome. Lineage: Eukaryota; Bacillariophyta; Thalassiosirophyceae; Thalassiosirales; Thalassiosiraceae. The record is from RNAcentral.
UACAACUUUCAGCAAUGGAUGUCUAGGUUCCCACAACGAUSAAGAACGCAGCGAAAUGCGAUACGUUAUGCGAAUUGCCCGAUCUCGUGAAUCAUCAAAACUUUGAACGCACAUUGCGCUCCAGGGUCACGCCCGGGAGCAUACUCAUUUGAGU